Molecule: ribosomal RNA, 522 nt
Filed under: Dendrolaelaps sp. GER3ME102
Lineage: Eukaryota; Metazoa; Arthropoda; Arachnida; Mesostigmata; Digamasellidae
Description: SSU rRNA
Rfam family: Eukaryotic small subunit ribosomal RNA
Source: RNAcentral
UUCGUAUUGUUGUGAGAGAGGUGAAAUUCUUAGACCACAGCAAGACAAACUACUGCGAAAGCAUUUGCCAAGAAUGUUUUCAUUGAUCAAGAACGAAAGUUAGAGGUUCGAAGGCGAUCAGAUACCGCCCUAGUUCUAACCAUAAACUAUGCCAACUAGCAAUCUGCUUAUAUAUGUUCUAUGAUUAAGUAGGCGGCCACGGGAAACCAAAGUAGGGUUAUGGGGGAAGUAUGGUUGCAAAGCUGAAACUUAAAGGAAUUGACGGAAGGGCACCACCAGGAGUGGAGCCUGCGGCUUAAUUUGACUCAACACGGGAAAACUUACCUGGUCCUGACACUAGAAGGAUUGACAGAUUGAUAGCUCUUUCUUGAUUUGGUGGAUGGUGGUGCAUGGCCGUUCUUAGUUGGUGGAGUGAUUUGUCUGGUUAAUUCCGAUAACGAACGAGACUCUAGCCUAUUAAAUAACACACAGAAUCAUGUCUUCUGUGGCGUUUCUUAAUGGGAUCAAGUGUGUUUAACGCUU